ACGGGAGGCAGCAGUGAGGAAUAUUGGUCAAUGGGCGCAAGCCUGAACCAGCCAAGUAGCGUGAGGGAUGACUGCCCUACGGGUUGUAAACCUCUUUUGUUUGGGAAUAAAGGAGCCUACGCGUAGGCUUUUGCAUGUACCUUUCGAAUAAGCAUCGGCUAAUUCCGUGCCAGCAGCCGCGGUAAUACGGAAGAUGCGAGCGUUAUCCGGAUUUAUUGGGUUUAAAGGGAGCGUAGGCGGCCGGUUAAGUCUGCGGUCAAAUGUCAGGGCCCAACCUUGGCAUGCCGUGGAUACUGUCCGGCUUGAGUGCACACAAGGAAGGUGGAAUUCGUCGUGUAGCGGUGAAAUGCUUAGAUAUGACGAAGAACACCGAUUGCGUAGGCAGCUUACCAAGCCGUAAAUGACGCUCAUGCACGAAAGUGCGGGGAUCGAACAGGAUUAGAUACCCUGGUA
This 453-nucleotide ribosomal RNA is filed under the name uncultured Paraprevotella sp. Its description in RNAcentral is "partial 16S ribosomal RNA". It matches the Rfam family "Bacterial small subunit ribosomal RNA", at positions 341 to 792 of the family's 1533-position model. Lineage: Bacteria; Pseudomonadati; Bacteroidota; Bacteroidia; Bacteroidales; Prevotellaceae. The record is from RNAcentral.